RNAcentral lists this ribosomal RNA (253 nucleotides) under uncultured bacterium. RNAcentral's name for it is "partial 16S ribosomal RNA". It matches the Rfam family "Bacterial small subunit ribosomal RNA", at positions 524 to 776 of the family's 1533-position model. The record is from RNAcentral.
UACGUAGGGUGCGAGCGUUGUCCGGAAUUAUUGGGCGUAAAGGGCUCGUAGGCGGUUUGUCACGUCGGGAGUGAAAACUCGGGGCUUAACCCCGAGCCUGCUUCCGAUACGGGCUGACUAGAGGUAUGCAGGGGAGAACGGAAUUCCAGGUGUAGCGGUGAAAUGCGUAGAUAUCUGGAGGAACACCGGUGGCGAAGGCGGCGUCCUGGACCAACACUGACACUGAGGAGCGAAAGCCAGGGGAGCAAACGGG